Long non-coding RNA from Juglans regia (Persian walnut), 439 nucleotides. RefSeq lists it as uncharacterized. NCBI's taxonomy places the organism in Eukaryota, Viridiplantae, Streptophyta, Magnoliopsida, Fagales, Juglandaceae. The record is from RefSeq and is a predicted model, not a curated record. The transcript is spliced from 2 exons.
UGCGAGCUUCACUCUCUUCCCCCCCCGGGGCCCCCACCCCGAAGCCCCCAACUCCUCUGCACUGUGAUUUCGAGUUCGGAAUGCGAUUUCGACGUCUUCUGCAGGGAGAAGUGAUGAGGUGUGACUUUUUCAUUUGGGUAGAUAUACUUCACUUGCUAAAAGAAAACAUUCGUACAAGAGAGAAUAAAGUUUGGAAGAUGUAGGAUGCCAUAUUACUGUGGGAGCAUGAAGUUCGUAAAAGAGAAUAUAAAGUAUGAGAGAAAGAGACAACUUUACUAAAUGAAAAGCAAAAAUAAUUUUUGUUUAUGUUGGGUUGUUACAAUUAUAAUAGUUUUUGAUUGGUUUGGAUAAACUGUAUGUAAAUAGCACAUUGUAUGGUACUCCCCCUAUGUUUUGGUUAUAAUGUACAAAAGGGGCAUCUAUAGGUUCAUUAAAUUAA